GGAAGGGUGUCCGAGUGGUUUAAGGAGCACGCUUGGAAAGCGUGUGUGUGGGCAACUGCACCGUGGGUUCGAAUCCCAUCCCUUCCGCCA
Molecule: transfer RNA, 90 nt
Filed under: Candidatus Saccharimonadota bacterium
Lineage: Bacteria; Candidatus Saccharimonadota
Description: tRNA-Ser
Rfam family: tRNA
About the family: Transfer RNA (tRNA) molecules are approximately 80 nucleotides in length. Their secondary structure includes four short double-helical elements and three loops (D, anti-codon, and T loops).
Source: RNAcentral